UUUCAUUUAUAUAUUAUUUGCAAGUUUAUUUUGGAUCUUAGCUUGUUACAUAACUUAGAUUUAGUGCAAUAUGUUGUGAUGUUCCAGUGUUUGUUUCCAUUUGUCCUUUGACCAUAGUAUGCAUAUUUCCUCCUUUGAUCUACUAAUGUGGAUUUAUUCUGGUAAGAUCAUCCUGCUAUUGAUUAUCUUCAACACUAAUUCCCAUAUUUAGUUUUAAAUUAUUAUGUGGCACUGAUGGAUGACAAGACAACUGUUCCUUACAAACCUCGAGUUAUUAAGGAUUAAUCCAGGGUGGCCUUGGCAAUGUUCCUUGGGAAAAUUAAUUGGAAUAAUUUGAGUGGAAAGUGUCAUGCUUGAACUACCUAACAAGUGGUUGCAGUGAGUUUAAAACAGUACAAAUCUAGAACCAUCCUCUUAUCUAUCAACAUAAAGAACCACUAUGAGGGUGGAGUUGUACUCAUACUUUUAAGUUUUGACUAAAAUAAAACUCAGGUUUCAACCAAAAUGGCUCAGGCUCCAUGGGAUGGAUAGGCUAGGGUAAAAACUGUUUGGAUAUUAUGGGUGAAGAAGAUAUGUUGAUACUUGGAGCUGGGAUGAAACCCCAGCCUUUGCUCAUCAUUGCCUCUUCAAGCACCACCAUUAGAUAGGAGAUGUUUCUCAGAUAUUGGGGCUGCCUAAAACCCAAUAGUCUAGUUGGUCCUUUCUUUGGCCUUGGCAAAGGUCCUUUCCUUGGCCUUGGAAAAGAAAUGUAUGCCCUCUAAUUCUGUUGCUAUUUCAAAACCACAUAAAUCAUUUUGAUAUUUCAUAUUACUCAUGCUGAUUCUGUUCUAU
Molecule: long non-coding RNA, 831 nt
Organism: Asparagus officinalis (garden asparagus)
Lineage: Eukaryota; Viridiplantae; Streptophyta; Magnoliopsida; Asparagales; Asparagaceae
Exons: 3
Source: RefSeq, a predicted model, not a curated record